CGUCCGGCGGUGAGCAGCAUGAUUCUCCACGGCAAGGUGGCUCUGGUCACCGGCGGCGCGCAAGGGAUCGGAAGAGCCGUGGUGGAAGAUCUCCUGGGGAAUGGGGCGAAGGUUGCAAUGGUAGACCUAAACCAGUCUGUGGGAGAGGAAUGUAAAAGUGAUCUAGAUGGCCAGUUUGGAGAGGAUAGCUGUAUUUUUAUCCAGUGUGAUGUGACGGACUCGGAGAAAUUUAAAGACGCCUUUCAAAACACAGUAGAUAGGUUUGGUCGAUUGGAUAUUGUCAUCAAUAACGCUGGAAUCAACAACGAGAAGAACUGGGAAAAGACCAUUGAAGUAAAUUUGACAUCCGUCAUAAAGGGGACAUAUUUAGCACUAGAACACAUGAGUAAAGAGUAUGGAAAGGAAGGAGGAGGGGUUAUCAUCAACGUCUCAUCCAUGGCAGCAUUUCUCCAUUCUGCUCACCAGCCAGUGUACACAGCAACAAAGCAUGGGGUGAUUGGAUUUUCACGAGCCAUAGCAGCUGACCGUGUUUGGACACGUUUUGUUGUCGGCAGGACGCAUCUGAACAGGGCAAUUAUGGAGUGAGGAUCAACACACUGUGCCCAGCCUUUGUGGACACCCAACUACUACUGACCGUGGAGCAUGAGGAAACAAUGGGCAAGUUUGUCAAGUACAAGGAUGAAUUCAAACAAAGGAUGGACAAGUAUGGCGUUCUUAAACCAUCUCUUAUUGCUGAAGGAAUGCUGCGAAUCAUAACAGACGAAAGCCUAAAUGGAGCCGUGAUGAAAAUAACCUGUUCUAAAGGCAUUCACUUCCACACCUAUGAGCCUCUUUCAGCUUGAGAGUGAUGAACAAUCAAGCCAGUCCUGUUUAUUCCUCACCAGAACAUUUAUUUUAUUGAAGUCCAGGGCAAACACUGGAAAUAAAUAGGGAGGGUAUAGAUUGUGUUAGAGGAGAGUUUUCUGUUUUUCAAUUAUCAGUUUUG
Molecule: non-coding RNA, 985 nt
Organism: Pimephales promelas (fathead minnow)
Lineage: Eukaryota; Metazoa; Chordata; Actinopteri; Cypriniformes; Leuciscidae
Source: RefSeq, a predicted model, not a curated record